This is a long non-coding RNA of Oncorhynchus tshawytscha (Chinook salmon), 1247 nucleotides long. The record is from Ensembl. Lineage: Eukaryota; Metazoa; Chordata; Actinopteri; Salmoniformes; Salmonidae.
CAAAUACACUGCUGGAACACCGAUUUAAGGUGUUUACUGUUUUAAUAAUUCUAAAGAUUGCUCAGAAAGAGAAAGGCAUUUACAUGACUAUUGCCAAAUCUGCCUACUACCAGAGUCAGUUCGAUGUCUAAUUAUUAGUGGGCAUGUAGACCUCCUCAGUGGCGGCCACCUGUGUUAAUUAGCGAUCUAACAUUCUCCGAACACCUGUGUGUAAGUGUAACUAACUGGGGAGGAAGUGUAGUGCAUCAACUGAAGGCAUGCCAUGCCGCUUGUGGAUCUGUUCAAAACUGCUACCGAGAAGUCUUCCCUCACUCCCCAUCCACCCCCAUGAAACAACACCUCUGAUAAGGGCGUCUAUGGAUGAAGACAUGGAUUUCUCAUGGUAUGGUGGGGUGAUUUUUGCACUUGCGUAGGAGAGGAGACAGAGUGAUUCCAACGGCACUUGACACCCAGCGGGGCAAGGUGGUCACUUACCUGGAUGACUUUCAAGCAAAAGCAGAGGAAGUCUUUCUGGUUCAGUUGAGAAGAAUGAAGUUGGCUUACUCAAAGUUUAUCUUGACGCAAGACAAGAGUGGGGUUGUUUUCUGUCAUAACUUGUCUGUAGUUCACCGUUGCUGAAUUUAUUGAGUGCUUAAAUAUGUGAAGAGUUUAUUUCCAAAACUCCAUAUCCACCAAUUUUUCACAUUUGUGUUAUUUCAUCAGAAAUGAUUGCCAAUGGGUACCUUCAUGUGUGUGUAAAAUAUUACUGUUCUCAGAUGUUUUAUUUUGUCGAUUUUAUGAAUGUGUUUUUUUGCAAAACGCUAUAUAUCCAUUGUUUAGCUGGAUUGGAAUGUUCAUAUCCUGUAUAUUUGACUGUGAUGUUGUUGUCUCACAAAGCUAUCUUAAGGUGGAUUGCACUAACUGUAAGUCGCUCUGGAUAAGAGCAUCUGCUAAAUGACUUAAAUGUAAAAUGUUAAUGUUUUACAUACAGAUCUCAUAUUACUGAAUUGAAUUAUUAUUAUUAUUUUAUUAUCUUAUUUAUAUUGAUGUCACAAAUGUAUCAUUUGUACAGUUCUUUAUAAAAAAUGUAGUUAUUUGUUACAUUUGACUGUAAAACCUAGCAGUGCUACUUAUUUCUCUGAGAGGCAGAUAUACAGCAUUUUGCAAAAAAAAAUGGUUGAUUAUUUGUGUCUCUGGAAUUAAACCAUCAAGUGAUAGAUUUUAAACAAAUAUGUCUGUCAUUGAACAUGCCAUAAUAAAAAACACAG